Molecule: ribosomal RNA, 468 nt
Filed under: uncultured bacterium
Lineage: Bacteria
Description: partial 16S ribosomal RNA
Rfam family: Bacterial small subunit ribosomal RNA
Source: RNAcentral
GACGAACGCUGGCGGCGUGCUUAACACAUGCAAGUCGAACGGAAAGACCCUGCUUUUGUGGGGUGCUCGAGUGGCGAACGGGUGAGUAACACGUGAGAAACCUGCCCUUGACUUUGGGAUAACUUCAGGAAACUGGGGCUAAUACCGGAUAGGAGCUCCUGCUGCAUGGUGGGGGUUGGAAAGUUUCGGCGGUUGGGGAUGGACUCGCGGCUUAUCAGCUUGCUGGUGGGGUAGUGGCUUACCAAGGCUUUGACGGGUAGCCGGCCUGAGAGGGUGAGCGGCCACAUUGGGACGGAGAUACGGCCCAGACGCCUACGGGAGGCAGCAGUGGGGAAUAUUGCACAAUGGGCGGAAGCCUGAUGCAGCAACGCCGCGUGCGGGAUGACGGCCUUCGGGUUGUAAACCGCUUUCGCCUGUGACGAAGCGUGAGUGACGGUAAUGGGUAAAGAAGCACCGGCUAACUACGUG